GUGGGGAAUAUUGGACAAUGGGCGAAAGCCUGAUCCAGCCAUGCCGCGUGUGUGAAGAAGGCUCUAGGGUUGUAAAGCACUUUAAGCAGGAAAGAAAAGCGUCGGAUUAAUACUCCGAGCGUAUUGACGGUACCUGCAGAAUAAGCACCGGCUAACUUCGUGCCAGCAGCCGCGGUAAUACGAAGGGUGCAAGCGUUAAUCGGAAUUAUUGGGCGUAAAGCGAGUGUAGGCGGUUUCGUGUGUCGGAUGUGAAAGCCCCGGGCUCAACCUGGGAGUUGCAUUCGAAACUGCGGAGCUAGAAUAUGGUAGAGGAAGACGGAAUUCCACGUGUAGCGGUGAAAUGCGUAGAUAUGUGGAGGAACACCAAUGGCGAAGGCAGUCUUCUGGGCCAAUAUUGACGCUGAGGCUCGAAAGCGUGGGUAGCAAACAGGAUUAGAAACCCUAGUAGUCC
This 451-nucleotide ribosomal RNA is filed under the name uncultured bacterium. Its description in RNAcentral is "bacterial SSU rRNA". It matches the Rfam family "Bacterial small subunit ribosomal RNA", at positions 354 to 796 of the family's 1533-position model. The record is from RNAcentral.